Helianthus annuus (common sunflower) is the source of this 421-nucleotide long non-coding RNA. RefSeq lists it as uncharacterized. The record is from RefSeq and is a predicted model, not a curated record. NCBI's taxonomy places the organism in Eukaryota, Viridiplantae, Streptophyta, Magnoliopsida, Asterales, Asteraceae. The transcript is spliced from 3 exons.
GAGUUAGUAGAGCACAAGCGGAAUAUGAAAAUUUCAAAAUUAUGGUGACUGGGCAUUCAAUGGGCGGGGCUAUGGCAGCUUUUUGUGGGUUGGAUCUUGCGUGUUAGGGAAUAAUGCUGCUACAAGUGAUGGUUUCAGCAAUGGCACAUUCUUCAGGGUUGUUCUAUUAGUUCAUAGGGAAAAGGUACUACGUGUAAUAUGGAUUUGUCCACUUAUAACUGUUUUCUUGGAUAUUUGUCGGUUAUUUUCUUUCCAUGGCAAAAUAUGUGGAAAGAGCAAGGAAAUGCUUAGCACUGAGUUUAAUGCACUGUAGGUUUGUUUCCAUUUGUUCAUGAGAUUUCAAUUGAAGAGGAGAUCUGACAUGUACCCAAAAGAGGUAUGUGGCCAAAGGUUCGUGUCCAUUUUGAGACCAUCAUCGUAG